GUUUGCACUGAAGGCCUAUUUCCUAGGCUACACGCGGGGGACAUUUUCCCUCAUCUGGUUGCCUAGGGGGAAAGUCCCCGGACCUUGGGCAGAAAGUGCCACAUGCUUACGCACGUAGACCCUCCCCACCCUUCACACUUAGCCUGCUAAGAAGCAAACUCACUCUCUGGGACGUGAAGCUAAGCGGUGUGUUGCGGGACAUCAUCUGUCAUCUGUCAUAGUGACGCAGGCAGUGCGCACGUCGGUGUGCACCAACCAAACCUGGCUGUGUUUAAAAAAAAA
Ribozyme from Cavia porcellus (domestic guinea pig), 282 nucleotides. It matches the Rfam family "RNase MRP". Rfam says of the family: RNase MRP is an enzymatically active ribonucleoprotein with two distinct roles in eukaryotes. NCBI's taxonomy places the organism in Eukaryota, Metazoa, Chordata, Mammalia, Rodentia, Caviidae. The record is from Ensembl.